UACGUAGGGGGCAAGCGUUAUCCGGAUUUACUGGGUGUAAAGGGAGCGUAGACGGCUUGGCAAGUCUGAAGUGAAAGGCAAGGGCUCAACCUUUGGACUGCUUUGGAAACUGUCAAGCUAGAGUGUCGGAGAGGCAAGUGGAAUUCCUAGUGUAGCGGUGAAAUGCGUAGAUAUUAGGAGGAACACCAGUGGCGAAGGCGGCUUGCUGGACGAUGACUGACGUUGAGGCUCGAAAGCGUGGGGAGCAAACAGGAUUAGAUACCCUGGUA
This 269-nucleotide ribosomal RNA is filed under the name uncultured prokaryote. RNAcentral describes it as "partial 16S ribosomal RNA". It matches the Rfam family "Bacterial small subunit ribosomal RNA", at positions 524 to 792 of the family's 1533-position model. The record is from RNAcentral.